Molecule: long non-coding RNA, 490 nt
Filed under: Androctonus crassicauda
Lineage: Eukaryota; Metazoa; Arthropoda; Arachnida; Scorpiones; Buthidae
Source: RNAcentral
UAGUUGAACAUUUGCCUAAAACUUUUUGACCCGCAGUAUCUCAAAUGGUUGACUGUCUGCCGGCAAAAGGGGGUAUCACUAUUCAGGAAGUCAUACUCUACAACCUAUUAAGUUUCAUCAAAAUUGGUGGAUUCCACUUGGGGGAACCUCUCCUUGUUAGUCUUUUAAAACUUUUGAAAAUUUGUGGAAGUGAAGGAAUAGCAGAAGGGUUUUUCUUUGAUAAAAUUAAAAUUAUAUAUAUAUUUAGCUAUCAAUAAAUUCAUCUUGAAUAAACAAAUCAACUUGAUGGAAGUCUAAGAAAUUAUUUGUGAUUGUACUAAAUUAUCAAUUUGCUAUUUGUAUUUCAAAAUUUUUAGUAUUUCUCUCUGCACUUAGUUUGUACAAUGAAACCUCUUUAGGUUGGACACAUUUGGUUCCUUCAAAAUGUGUUCAGCUUAGGUGCUAACUUACAAGGAGAGGGCGCGAGGGCCGGAAAACGGAUUGGAACGAG